This 67-nucleotide transfer RNA is filed under the name Platyptilia sp. DM741. RNAcentral describes it as "tRNA-Cys". Lineage: Eukaryota; Metazoa; Arthropoda; Insecta; Lepidoptera; Pterophoridae. The record is from RNAcentral.
AGUCUUAUAUUCUUUAAAAGAUUUAAAAUUGCAAAUUUUAAGAAAUAAAUAAAAUUUAUUAAGGCUU